RNAcentral lists this ribosomal RNA (252 nucleotides) under uncultured bacterium. RNAcentral's name for it is "partial 16S ribosomal RNA". It matches the Rfam family "Bacterial small subunit ribosomal RNA", at positions 525 to 776 of the family's 1533-position model. The record is from RNAcentral.
ACGGAGGGUGCAAGCGUUAUCCGGAUUUACUGGGUUUAAAGGGUGCGCAGGCGGGAAAUUAAGUCAGCGGUGAAAGCCCCGAGCUCAACUCGGGAAUUGCCAUUGAUACUGAUUUUCUUGAAUACGGCUGAGGUUGGCGGAAUACGACAUGUAGCGGUGAAAUGCAUAGAUAUGUCGUAGAACACCGAUUGCGAAGGCAGCUGACUAAACCGUAAUUGACGCUGAGGCACGAAAGCGUGGGGAGCGAACAGG